UCGUAACAAGGUCUCCGUUGGUGAACCAGCGGAGGGAUCAUUACUGAGUUACCGCUCAUCAACCCUUUGUGAACAUACCUUAACUGUUGCUUCGGCGGGUAGGCGUCCCCUAAAAAGGACGUCUCCCGGCCCUCGCCCGUCCGCGGGUGGGGCGCCCGCCGGAGGAUAACCAAACUCUGAUUUAACGACGUUUCUUCUGAGUGACACAAGCAAAUAAUCAAAACUUUUAACAACGGAUCUCUUGGUUCUGGCAUCGAUGAAGAACGCAGCGAAAUGCGAUAAGUAAUGUGAAUUGCAGAAUUCAGUGAAUCAUCGAAUCUUUGAACGCACAUUGCGCCCGCCAGCAUUCUGGCGGGCAUGCCUGUUCGAGCGUCAUUUCAACCCUCAAGCUCUGCUUGGUGUUGGGGCUCUACGGUUGACGUAGGCCCUUAAAGGUAGUGGCGGACCCUCUCGGAGCCUCCUUUGCGUAGUAACAUUUCGUCUCGCAUUGGGAUUCGGAGGGACUCUAGCCGUAAAACCCCCAAUUUUACUAAGGUUGACCUCGGAUCAGGUAGGAAUACCCGCUGAACUUAAGCAUAUCAA
Molecule: ribosomal RNA, 582 nt
Filed under: Colletotrichum sp. ITCC 6226
Lineage: Eukaryota; Fungi; Ascomycota; Sordariomycetes; Glomerellales; Glomerellaceae
Description: eukaryotic LSU rRNA
Rfam family: 5.8S ribosomal RNA (bases 222-375)
Source: RNAcentral